UACGGAGGGUGCAAGCGUUAAUCGGAAUUACUGGGCGUAAAGCGUGCGUAGGUGGUUCGUUAAGUCCGUUGUGAAAGCCCCGAGCUCAACUUGGGAAUUGCAGUGGAUACUGGCGAGCUGGAGUGCGGUAGAGGAAGGUGGAAUUCCCGGUGUAGCGGUGAAAUGCGUAGAGAUCGGGAGGAACACCAGCGGCGGAAGGCGGAGCCUCGU
Molecule: ribosomal RNA, 210 nt
Filed under: uncultured bacterium
Lineage: Bacteria
Description: partial 16S ribosomal RNA
Rfam family: Bacterial small subunit ribosomal RNA
Source: RNAcentral